This is a long non-coding RNA of Arabidopsis thaliana (thale cress), 303 nucleotides long. RefSeq annotates it as other RNA. The transcript has a single exon. The record is from RefSeq. Lineage: Eukaryota; Viridiplantae; Streptophyta; Magnoliopsida; Brassicales; Brassicaceae.
GUCUCACCUCGAACUACGUAGUGUUUAUGCAAGAAUCUAGGUACUCGUGACUCUCUUCUGUUUGUAUAUGCUGCUUAUCUGCAUGUCCGCAUUAUACAUCCAAAUGUCUUAAUGUACACACUUUCUCUUUUGUUUUUUUAUAACAUCCAUGUACACACUUUAUUCAGAGUAGUAGCAGUCUUUAUGUGAUUACUUUUACAUCAAAAUGUAUGUCACGGUCUUCCAUUAAAUGCUUCAUCUUACUUACUCAGCAAGUUGAUUACAUCAGAUAAUAAUGGUACAUUGUUCUCGUGAUUUUGCAGG